UACGUAGGGUGCGAGCGUUAAUCGGAAUUACUGGGCGUAAAGCGUGCGCAGGCGGUUCGUUAAGUCAGCUGUGAAAGCCCCGGGCUCAACCUGGGAACUGCGGUUGAAACUGGCGAACUAGAAUCUGGCAGAGGGGGGUGGAAUUCCACGUGUAGCAGUGAAAUGCGUAGAGAUGUGGAGGAACACCGAUGGCGAAGGCAGCCCCCUGGGCUAAGAUUGACGCUCAGGCACGAAAGCGUGGGGGGCAAACAGG
This 253-nucleotide ribosomal RNA is filed under the name uncultured bacterium. Its description in RNAcentral is "partial 16S ribosomal RNA". It matches the Rfam family "Bacterial small subunit ribosomal RNA", at positions 524 to 776 of the family's 1533-position model. The record is from RNAcentral.